AUAUCCUGUCGAUUAAUGGGUAGAUCAUAAAUUUUUGGUAUUUAGAGUCGGUGUUCGAAUCACCGCAGGAUAA
This 73-nucleotide transfer RNA is filed under the name Fusarium oxysporum. RNAcentral's name for it is "tRNA-Gln". It matches the Rfam family "tRNA". From Rfam's summary of the family: Transfer RNA (tRNA) molecules are approximately 80 nucleotides in length. Their secondary structure includes four short double-helical elements and three loops (D, anti-codon, and T loops). The record is from RNAcentral. Lineage: Eukaryota; Fungi; Ascomycota; Sordariomycetes; Hypocreales; Nectriaceae.